AACGCUGGCGGCAGGCUUAAUACAUGCAAGUCGAACGGUAACAUGUCGGAGCAAUCUGAUGAUGACGAGUGGCGCACGGGUGCGUAACGCGUAUGCAACCUACCCAUAACCGGAACAUAACGUUGAGAAAUCGGCGCUAAUAUUCCAUGUGUAUAUUUUGUGGCAUCAUAGGAUAUAUAAAGAUUAAUUGGUUAUGGAUGGGCAUGCGUAUCAUUAGCUAGUUGGUAGGGUAACGGCCUACCAAGGCUGCGAUGAUUAGGGGUUCUGAGAGGAUAACCCCCCACACUGGAACUGAGACACGGUCCAGACUCCUACGGGAGGCAGCAGUAGGGAAUAUUGGGCAAUGGAGGCAACUCUGACCCAGCCAUGCCGCGUGAAGGAAGACGGUCCUAUGGAUUGUAAACUUCUUUUAUCAUAGAGUAACCGCAGGGACGUGUCCCUGCCUGCAAGUAUAUGAUGAAUAAGCAUCGGCUAACUCCGUG
RNAcentral lists this ribosomal RNA (482 nucleotides) under uncultured bacterium. Its description in RNAcentral is "bacterial SSU rRNA". It matches the Rfam family "Bacterial small subunit ribosomal RNA", at positions 32 to 507 of the family's 1533-position model. The record is from RNAcentral.